This 118-nucleotide ribosomal RNA is filed under the name Sarcocystis arieticanis. Its description in RNAcentral is "partial 5.8S ribosomal RNA". It matches the Rfam family "5.8S ribosomal RNA", at positions 2 to 119 of the family's 154-position model. Rfam says of the family: 5.8S ribosomal RNA (5.8S rRNA) is a component of the large subunit of the eukaryotic ribosome. It is transcribed by RNA polymerase I as part of the 45S precursor that also contains 18S and 28S rRNA. RNAcentral also lists the same sequence under 1 other name. The record is from RNAcentral. Lineage: Eukaryota; Apicomplexa; Conoidasida; Eucoccidiorida; Sarcocystidae.
AUUUUCAGCGAUGGAUGUCUUGGCUCGCGCAACGAUGAAGGACGCAGUGAAAUGCGAAACGCAGUGUGAAUUGCAGAAUUCAGGGAAUCAUCAGAUUUCUGAACGCAAAUGGCACCUU